This 471-nucleotide ribosomal RNA is filed under the name uncultured bacterium. RNAcentral's name for it is "bacterial SSU rRNA". It matches the Rfam family "Bacterial small subunit ribosomal RNA", at positions 31 to 518 of the family's 1533-position model. The record is from RNAcentral.
GAACGCUGGCGGCGUGCUUAACACAUGCAAGUCGAGCGAUGAGGCUUCUUCGGAAGUGGAUUAGCGGCGGACGGGUGAGUAACACGUGGGUAACCUGCCUCAUAGAGGGGAAUAGCCUUCCGAAAGGAAGAUUAAUACCGCAUAAGAUUGUAAUAUCGCAUGAUAUAGCAAUUAAAGGAGUAAUCCGCUAUGAGAUGGACCCGCGUCGCAUUAGCUAGUUGGUGAGGUAACGGCUCACCAAGGCGACGAUGCGUAGCCGACCUGAGAGGGUGAUCGGCCACAUUGGGACUGAGACACGGCCCAGACUCCUACGGGAGGCAGCAGUGGGGAAUAUUGCACAAUGGGGGAAACCCUGAUGCAAGCAACGCCGCGUGAGUGAUGACGGUCUUCGGAUUGUAAAGCUCUGUCUUCAGGGACGAUAAUGACGGUACCUGAGGAGGAAGCCACGGCUAACUACGUGCCAGCCGCGGC